AGUGAACGCUGGCGGUAUGCCUAACACAUGCAAGUCGAACGGCAGCACAGUAAGAUCUUGCUCUUACGGGUGGCGAGUGGCGGACGGGUGAGGCAUACAUCGGAAUCUACUUUUUCGUGGGGGAUAACGUAGGGAAACUUACGCUAAUACCGCAUACGACCUACGGGUGAAAGCAGGGGAUCAUCGGACCUUUCGCGAUUGAAUGAGCCGAUGUCGGAUUAGCUAGUUGGCGGGGUAAAGGCCCACCAAGGCGACGAUCCGUAGCUGGUCUGAGAGGAUGAUCAGCCACACUGGAACUGAGACACGGUCCAGACUCCUACGGGAGGCAGCAGUGGGGAAUAUUGGACAAUGGGCGCAAGCCUGAUCCAGCCAUACCGCGUGGGUGAAGAAGGCCUUCGGGUUGUAAAGCCCUUUUGUUGGGAAAGAAAAGCAGCAGGUUAAUACCCCGCUGUUCUGACGGUACCCAAAGAAUAAGCACCGGCUAACUUCGUG
Molecule: ribosomal RNA, 492 nt
Filed under: uncultured bacterium
Lineage: Bacteria
Description: partial 16S ribosomal RNA
Rfam family: Bacterial small subunit ribosomal RNA
Source: RNAcentral